UGGGGAAUAUUGCACAAUGGGGGAAACCCUGAUGCAGCAACGCCGCGUGAAGGAAGACGGUUUUCGGAUUGUAAACUUCUAUCAAUAGGGACGAAAGAAAUGACGGUACCUAAAUAAGAAGCCCCGGCUAACUACGUGCCAGCAGCCGCGGUAAUACGUAGGGGGCAAGCGUUAUCCGGAAUUACUGGGUGUAAAGGGUGAGUAGGCGGCAUGGCAAGUAAGAUGUGAAAGCCCGAGGCUUAACCUCGGGAUUGCAUUUUAAACUGCUAAGCUAGAGUACAGGAGAGGAAAGCGGAAUUCCUAGUGUAGCGGUGAAAUGCGUAGAUAUUAGGAAGAACACCAGUGGCGAAGGCGGCUUUCUGGACUGGAAACUGACGCUGAGGCACGAAAGCGUGGGGAGCGAACA
RNAcentral lists this ribosomal RNA (406 nucleotides) under uncultured bacterium. RNAcentral describes it as "bacterial SSU rRNA". It matches the Rfam family "Bacterial small subunit ribosomal RNA", at positions 355 to 774 of the family's 1533-position model. The record is from RNAcentral.